GGGGCGAGCGUUGUUCGGAAUCACUGGGCUUAAAGCGUGCGUAGGCGGGUAGGGAAGUCAGAAGUGAAAUCCCUGGGCUUAACCCAGGAAUUGCUUUUGAAACUCCCUGUCUAGAAACCGAGAGAGGUUAGCGGAAUAUCCAGUGUAGAGGUGAAAUUCGCAGAUAUUGGAUGGAACACCAGUGGCGAAGGCGGCUAACUGGCUCGGUAUUGACGCUGAGGCACGAAAGCGUGGGUAGCAAACAGGAUUAGAUACCCUGGUAGUCCACGCCGUAAACCAUGUUUGCUAGCUGUUGGUGUCCUUAGGGCAUCGGCGGCGGAGAGAAAUCAUUAAGCAAACCGCCUGGGGAGUACGGCCGCAAGGUUA
This 366-nucleotide ribosomal RNA is filed under the name uncultured bacterium. Its description in RNAcentral is "bacterial SSU rRNA". It matches the Rfam family "Bacterial small subunit ribosomal RNA", at positions 531 to 896 of the family's 1533-position model. The record is from RNAcentral.